This 465-nucleotide ribosomal RNA is filed under the name Vreelandella stevensii. RNAcentral describes it as "partial 16S ribosomal RNA". It matches the Rfam family "Bacterial small subunit ribosomal RNA", at positions 338 to 795 of the family's 1533-position model. Lineage: Bacteria; Pseudomonadati; Pseudomonadota; Gammaproteobacteria; Oceanospirillales; Halomonadaceae. The record is from RNAcentral.
CCUACGGGUGGCUGCAGUGGGGAAUAUUGGACAAUGGGGGCAACCCUGAUCCAGCCAUGCCGCGUGUGUGAAGAAGGCCCUCGGGUUGUAAAGCACUUUCAGUGAGGAAGAACGCCUGGUGGUUAAUACCCAUCAGGAAAGACAUCACUCACAGAAGAAGCACCGGCUAACUCCGUGCCAGCAGCCGCGGUAAUACGGAGGGUGCGAGCGUUAAUCGGAAUUACUGGGCGUAAAGCGCGCGUAGGUGGCUUGAUAAGCCGGUUGUGAAAGCCCCGGGCUCAACCUGGGAACGGCAUCCGGAACUGUCAAGCUCGAGUGCAGGAGAGGAAGGUAGAAUUCCCGGUGUAGCGGUGAAAUGCGUAGAGAUCGGGAGGAAUACCAGUGGCGAAGGCGGCCUUCUGGACUGACACUGACACUGAGGUGCGAAAGCGUGGGUAGCAAACAGGAUUAGAUACCCUGGUAGUC